GACUGUUUCUCCAGCUGUCCUGCUCCUCUCCUUCUGCCAAGGGUGGACCGUGGUGCUGAGGGUCACUGGGAAACCAGCAGCAGCUUCCUCAGGGACCAAACGGAUUUGUUCCUAACUCUGCAGAGUUGGGCUCUGGAGGAAGAUUCCCACCCAGGGGAUGGCUCAAGAAUAGGUCUAUGCUGUUACUUUAUUCAUCUUGCUGUGAUUGCCGGGAGCCUGACCCACAUGAAGUGCAUGAAUGCAUUCUGUCCCUCUCCAGCUAGAUGAACAGACGGUACUCACAGGUAAUUGGAAAGACAGGAAGAGGAGGGUCAGGGCACUUAUUUUUAUGACUUCCU
This 338-nucleotide long non-coding RNA is filed under the name Mustela putorius furo (domestic ferret). Its description in RNAcentral is "lncRNA (ENSMPUG00000024047.1)". The record is from RNAcentral. Lineage: Eukaryota; Metazoa; Chordata; Mammalia; Carnivora; Mustelidae.